ACGGCUCAGUAACACGUCGAUAAUCUGCCCAUAAGUCUGGAAUAACCUCGGGAAACUGAGGCUAAGACCGGAUAGGAAAACAUUCCUGGAACGCAAGUUUUCUGAAAGGUAACGCUUAUGGAUGAGUCGGCGGCGGAUUAGGCUGUUGGUGAGGUAACGGCUCACCAAACCGAAGAUCCGUAGAGGCUCUGAGAGGAGUAGCCUCGAGAAGGGCACUGAGACACUGGCCCUAGCCCUACGGGGUGCAGCAGGCGCGAAACCUUUACACUGCACGAAAGUGUGAUAAGGGAAUCCAAAGUGCCUAUACUCUGUAUAGGCUUUUGCCAAGAGUAAAUAUCUUGGCGAAUAAGUGGUGGGAAAGACUGGUGCCAGCCGCCGCGGUAACACCAGCGCCACGAGUGGGGAUCCUUUUUAUUUGGCCUAAAGCGUCCGUAGCUGGUUGAGUAAAUCUCUUGUGAAAUUGUUCUGCUCAACAGAACAGCGUGCAGGAGAGACUGCUUAGCUAGGGACCGGGAGGAGUUAGAGGUAUGCUGGGGGGAGCGGUAAAAUGCUAUAAUCCUCGGUAGACCACCUGUGGCGAAGGCGUCUAACUAGAACGGGUCCGACAGUGAGGGACGAAAGCCAGGGGAGCAAACCGGAUUAGAUACCCGAGUAGUCCUGGCUGUAAACGCUGCGAGCUAGGUGUUGCACAUUUUUCGAGAAUGUGCAGUGUCGAAGCGAAGGCGCUAAGCUCGCCGCCUGGGAAGUAUGGUCGCAAGACUGAAACUUAAAGGAAUUGGCGGGGGAG
RNAcentral lists this ribosomal RNA (787 nucleotides) under uncultured archaeon. RNAcentral describes it as "bacterial SSU rRNA". It matches the Rfam family "Archaeal small subunit ribosomal RNA", at positions 85 to 876 of the family's 1478-position model. The record is from RNAcentral.